Molecule: ribosomal RNA, 81 nt
Filed under: Candidatus Izemoplasmatales bacterium
Lineage: Bacteria; Bacillati; Mycoplasmatota; Mollicutes; Candidatus Izemoplasmatales
Description: partial 16S ribosomal RNA
Rfam family: Bacterial small subunit ribosomal RNA
Source: RNAcentral
UAAAUGGAGAGUUUGAUCCUAGCUCAGGAUGAACGCUGGCGGCAUGCCUAAUACAUGCAAGUCGAACGCACUAGUUUACUA